This 162-nucleotide unclassified non-coding RNA is filed under the name uncultured Bionectriaceae. RNAcentral's name for it is "sequence contains ITS1". The record is from RNAcentral. Lineage: Eukaryota; Fungi; Ascomycota; Sordariomycetes; Hypocreales.
CCGAGUUGCAAGACUCCCAAACCACUGUGAACCUUACCAUCGUUGCUUCGGCGGACCCGCCCCGGCGCUCUCGCGACCGGAACCAGGCGACCGCCGGGGGAAAAAACACAAACCUCUGUAUCUCUGUGGAUUAUCUGAGUGGCGAAAGCACAAAUACAAUCA